AACCCUUAGCCAUACACUCCCUACCCUAGCUCGGCAUGACUGUGUAAUGUAAAACUUGUGCAAAAAGAUAAGUUUGGGGUAUUCAUCCGUAGAAUAAAAAUGUUGUUGAAAAAUGGCAAGUGCAAGGAAAAGAAAGAUGAGAAAAAGAAAAAGUGUGUAGAAACAUCCGCUUCUAUCGGAAGAAAAAAAAAAGAGAAAAAGAAAUGAAAAAGAAAAAGAAAAGGUAUCUAUAUGGAGAAAUGAAAAAAUAAGCACUUGCCUUAAAAAUAUACUCAUGCAUUAAUAUGAAUUUGAGUGGAAAAAGAGUCAAGAUUGGACGACGCCCCAACAAAAUAAAAUUCUUGCACAAAGAAAAACAACAACAUGAAUGCCGAGAUGUAAAACCUUUUGUAAUCCAUUUUG
RNAcentral lists this long non-coding RNA (402 nucleotides) under Lathyrus oleraceus (garden pea). Its description in RNAcentral is "Pisum sativum (pea) long non-coding RNA (PSAT_LNC031501)". The record is from RNAcentral. Lineage: Eukaryota; Viridiplantae; Streptophyta; Magnoliopsida; Fabales; Fabaceae.